RNAcentral lists this ribosomal RNA (253 nucleotides) under uncultured bacterium. Its description in RNAcentral is "partial 16S ribosomal RNA". It matches the Rfam family "Bacterial small subunit ribosomal RNA", at positions 524 to 776 of the family's 1533-position model. The record is from RNAcentral.
UACGUAGGCAGCAAGCGUUGUUCGGAUUUACUGGGCGUAAAGAGUGCGUAGGCGGUUCCGUAAGUUUGGUGUGAAAUCUCCCGGCUCAACUGGGAGGGUGCGCCGAAGACUGCGGUGCUUGAGUGUGGGAAAGGUAGGCGGAAUUCCUGGUGUAGCGGUGAAAUGCGCAGAUAUCAGGAGGAACACCGGUGGCGAAGGCGGGUCUCUGGGCCGAUACUGACGCUGAGGAGCGAAAGCGUGGGGAGCGAACAGG